CCCAGGACCCUGAGCCAAACCAGCGAGGGCACCCUUUUUCCUUAUUCAGCAGAGGCGCUCAGUCCACCCUGUUUUGGGCAAUCCUUAAACGGAUCUGUCCUUAAGGAGACAGGUCCUAAGAGGGCAGUGACAAAGCCAUCAGCACUGUGAAGGGUAAACCCAGGACUAUGGGAGCCACGGGCCCUGACAACUGGGUGUGUGGGGAGAGGGUGGUCAGUGGCCCCUGGGAAAACACUUGCUCAUCCUACAAAGCUUAGCUCCAGGGUCGCCUCCAAGAAGCCCUCCCUGCUCUCACCCUCUGAUGUAACCACAGCCCCUGAGCCCCUGAGCCCUGCUGUGCCUGAGCCCGCCUGCAUCUUCCUUCCGGUCGCUCAGAGGGUUCCGAGGCCAUGAGUCCACGGUGCCCGGGAUGCGGCUGGCCACGGAGCAGGCUUGGCGGGUGUUACUGACUGAACAAUUUGUUGUCAUGUUGUUCCCAUGGGUUUUAAACAGGAAAUGCCAGUGGCAGGAGCAUGUCCAGGGACAGCAAGUAGCAGCUCCUGCCGCCUCUAGUCCUCCAUUCCUGUCGCAGUCUGCUUGGGGAUGUGGGAGCAGAGAGAGGGCUGGCACCUCAGACGGCGAGGCCAAGGCCGGUGAAGUCGGGUGCGGGGGAGGGUGUUGACACCUGUCACUGCGGUCUCUGUUCGAAGGGGUGUUAGGCGGGGGCUCGCCCUCUGAGCCUCCAGGCAGGAAACCAGGCCCCCAGAAUGGAAACCAAUGCCCAAGACCAGAGGCGGGGGGAGAGCCAGUUUCUGGGGAUUUAUAAUGAUGGGGGAGGGGGCUGGGCUCUGGCCUUGGCAUUCCUCAGUUUUUCAUUCAUGAGAAAGCUGCCCCCUGUUGCUGCACCACCCUCACUCCCACCCCGGGCAGUUAGCCAUGGGACUGCCCUAUUGGGGGAAAAGCCAUGCUGUCUUUAUCCAAAUUCAGGAGACAGCCCAUCCGCAGAGGGGCCCCUGGCUGCGUGGCUGUAGACCCCAGUCAUACGCCCCACGCUAGUCUUGGAUUGUGUGUGACCUAUGACUAAGGCCCCAUGUGUCAGCCUCAGAGCUAGGGGUCCCAGUGUGGGCAUAAAAGGGGGUGUCAUAAAAUCUGUCUCUGUGGUGGUAGGGGUUGUGGAAACUUGGGGGAGGAGAGACGGGGAGUGGAGCUGGGUGGCCUUCCUCAUUGACCCACUUCUUCCCUCCAUUGAUUGUGAGUCCCGCGAUGCCAGGAGAUUUUAGUCGUUUUUGAUUGGUGCUGUGUCCCUGGCACCUGACACAGAGCCUGGUCAAUGGUGGCCGCACAGGGCACAUUUAUUGAAUGAGUGGAUGGAUGAAUGAACGUCCCCGCUCACUCACUCACUUGCACUCAUCCCGCAGCUCCUGGCUGGCACCCAGGGGCCCCGGGUCUCAAGGGCGCACCGCCGGGCAGGAACUGCUGACAUGAACCCAGAGGAGGCUUGUGCCCCAGCGCAGAAGGACUGAAGGCGGGAAGUUACUAGGGUCACAGAGGUCAGGAGACAGCUGUGAGUGGCAAGUGCACUCAGGCCUGAUAGUGCAGCUGGAGGCGUGGGUCCAAGUUCGAGAGGUCAGCUGUGCAGCCAGCCAUUCCCCUCCAGACCUCCGUUCCUCAUCUCUAAGUGGCAGUGACAGCUCCUUCUGACGGUGGGUCCCGAAUGCUGUGCUGUGGGGCACGGAGCCAGAGCCGUGUUUGUUUUCUCUCUGGGUUUGCUGUUUUUAUGUCCUGUUUGAGCCCAGAGUCGUGGAGUCAGAAGGACUUGGUGUGCCUGUCUGGAAAGGGGCGGGGAGAGGAAUGUGGCUUUCAGUCCCUGUCCCUGGUUCCUGGUGCAUGCCUUGGCAUUCUCAUAAUUGGCCAGGACCCCAGCCACUGGUACAGCAGGUCCUGGGGCCAGCAGGCACACAGGAUCACUAGCUCACUGACCUUCCCUCCUUGGCUGCUCUAGUCCCACUGGCCUCUAGUCCCACAUCUCACCUUGGCUGCCUGUAAGUCUCCCAGUGUCUACCAUGUCUGACAGCUUUAGGUUCUUGCCUGAGGCCUCUUGGCCCUCCACCUUGUGAAUCAGGAAGGUGGCUGAGGAGGGAGCUUGCUGAGGGUUGGGGGCUAUUACUCCUAUAAAUACCCAUCAUCAUGUGAUAACUAUUAGGUGAAACCCUGAUGUUCAGGGAGCAGGCCAGGGAAGGCUUCACACAUGAGGCGGGACCUGAUCUGGAUCGCGGGGGUUGAGUAGGAAUGAGACGACAGCCAAAGGAUUUGCUGGUGUGCAAAUCUGGUAUGUGCUUGGGUAGCCAGAAGUUCAGUGGGAACCCUUGGAUGGCAGUGGCCAGUUUGCUUUAUGUCUUGGGCAGUUCCUGGAAGGGACAGGGUCACUGAAGGGUCUUGAGCUGGGAAGAGAUGUGGUCCAACGCAUUGUAGAAAGACUGGCCCACUCCCGUGACUCGGAGAAGAGCAGAAAGAGUAGAUCUGGGGCAGGAGGUUGGCAGCACAGUGCAGUCUGCCAGGCCUUCAUCAACACACACACACACACACACACACACACACACACACACGAGGCUGGAUCCCUGUCUCCACUCACCUCUUUAUUAAACUAGUCAGGAGGAGAAGUCAAGAAGUCGUGAAGAUUCCAAAAUGAUCCUGGACUUCCCCCAUUCCCAGGAUUCUUCCCUGAUGGGAUCUUUGUGUGGCCUUCCGAUGCAGGAGCAGGACUCAGUCUUCCAAAGAACUCUGCCAAUGGGAGGCAGCUCCUAAGAGGCAUGGGGAGGACUUAGGGCAGGGCCUUACAUGGAUGCUUAAAGCUUCCCUGUCCUUGCCCACCCUUGGGGAAACUCCCUGUCAUGUUUCCCAAAUCCCAGGAAGCACUCUGCAAACCCCCCCUCCAGCAGAUACACAGCGGCUGCCACAGAGGAACCUGCAGAGAAAGGGCAGCAGGGGGGCGAGAGGGAAUCCUCACAUUGUUAAUUUAAAUAGAUUUUUGUUGAUUUCAGAGAGGAAGGGAUAGAAACAUCAAUGAAGGAAUCGUUCAUCAGCUUCCUCUUGCAUGCCCCCUACUUGGGGUCAAUCCCACAACCAGGGCAUGUGCCCUGAGGGGAAAUUGAACUGUGACCUCCCAGUUCAUAGGUCAACACUCAACCACUGAGCCACGCCUGCUGGGCAUGUCUCACCUUUUUAGCUGGUUGACUUCCUGUGUUCCCAGACAACUUAGUGAAGCCGAGAAGGGA
Molecule: long non-coding RNA, 3254 nt
Organism: Pipistrellus kuhlii (Kuhl's pipistrelle)
Lineage: Eukaryota; Metazoa; Chordata; Mammalia; Chiroptera; Vespertilionidae
Exons: 3
Source: RefSeq, a predicted model, not a curated record